RNAcentral lists this ribosomal RNA (394 nucleotides) under uncultured bacterium. Its description in RNAcentral is "partial 16S ribosomal RNA". It matches the Rfam family "Bacterial small subunit ribosomal RNA", at positions 523 to 918 of the family's 1533-position model. The record is from RNAcentral.
AUACGUAGGGGGCGAGCGUUGUCCGGAAUUACUGGGCGUAAAGGGCGCGUAGGCGGCGCUUCAAGUCGUCUGUCAAAUGGGAGGGCUUAACCCUUUUUCGCAGACGAAACUGGAGAGCUUGAGAAGCAGAGAGGCAAACAGAAUUCCUGGUGUAGCGGUGAAAUGCGUAGAUAUCAGGAAGAAUACCAGUGGCGAAGGCGGUUUGCUGGCUGCAUACUGACGCUGAAGCGCGAAAGCCAGGGGAGCAAACGGGAUUAGAUACCCCGGUAGUCCUGGCAGUAAACGAUGUAUGCUGGGUGUGAGACUAGCGAUAGUUUCGUGCCGAAGUUAACGCGAUAAGCAUACCGCCUGGGGAGUACGGUCGCAAGAUUGAAACUCAAAGGAAUUGACGGGG